This 484-nucleotide ribosomal RNA is filed under the name uncultured bacterium. RNAcentral describes it as "partial 16S ribosomal RNA". It matches the Rfam family "Bacterial small subunit ribosomal RNA", at positions 30 to 507 of the family's 1533-position model. The record is from RNAcentral.
AUUGAACGCUGGCGGCAGGCCUAACACAUGCAAGUCGAGCGGAUGAAGGGAGCUUGCUCCUGGAUUCAGCGGCGGACGGGUGAGUAAUGCCUAGGAAUCUGCCUGGUAGUGGGGGAUAACGUCCGGAAACGGGCGCUAAUACCGCAUACGUCCUGAGGGAGAAAGUGGGGGAUCUUCGGACCUCACGCUAUCAGAUGAGCCUAGGUCGGAUUAGCUAGUUGGUGGGGUAAAGGCCUACCAAGGCGACGAUCCGUAACUGGUCUGAGAGGAUGAUCAGUCACACUGGAACUGAGACACGGUCCAGACUCCUACGGGAGGCAGCAGUGGGGAAUAUUGGACAAUGGGCGAAAGCCUCAUCCAGCCAUGCCGCGUGUGUGAAGAAGGUCUUCGGAUUGUAAAGCACUUUAAGUUGGGAGGAAGGGCAGUAAGUUAAUACCUUGCUGUUUUGACGUUACCAACAGAAUAAGCACCGGCUAACUUCGUG